UGAGACCGGCGCACGGGUGCGUAACGCGUAUGCAAUCUACCUUUUACAAAGGGAUAGCCCAGAGAAAUUUGGAUUAAUACCUUAUAGUAUAGUAUAAUCGCAUGAUUUAACUAUUAAAGAUUUAUCGGUAAAAGAUGAGCAUGCGUCCCAUUAGCUAGUUGGUAUGGUAACGGCAUACCAAGGCUUCGAUGGGUAGGGGUCCUGAGAGGGAGAUCCCCCACACUGGUACUGAGACACGGACCAGACUCCUACGGGAGGCAGCAGUGAGGAAUAUUGGUCAAUGGACGCAAGUCUGAACCAGCCAUGCCGCGUGCAGGAUGACGGUCCUAUGGAUUGUAAACUGCUUUUAUACAGGAAGAAACA
This 363-nucleotide ribosomal RNA is filed under the name Flavobacterium sp. SL8. Its description in RNAcentral is "bacterial SSU rRNA". It matches the Rfam family "Bacterial small subunit ribosomal RNA", at positions 90 to 452 of the family's 1533-position model. The record is from RNAcentral. Lineage: Bacteria; Pseudomonadati; Bacteroidota; Flavobacteriia; Flavobacteriales; Flavobacteriaceae.